GGGUCAGUAGGUUGGUCGUGCCACCGGUACGUACUGGUCUCACUGAUUCCUCCUUCCUGAAGAACCGUAAUGCCAUUAAUUUGGUGUUGCGGGGAAACAGGACUGUUACUUUGAAAAAAUUAGAGUGUUUAAAGCAAGCUAACGCUUGAAUACAUUAGCAUGGAAUAAUGAAAUAGGACGAUCGAUCAUAUUUAGUUGGUUUCUAGGAUUGACGUA
RNAcentral lists this ribosomal RNA (216 nucleotides) under Glomeromycotina sp. RNAcentral's name for it is "partial small subunit ribosomal RNA". The stretch from base 40 to 216 matches the Rfam family "Eukaryotic small subunit ribosomal RNA", at positions 686 to 864 of the family's 1831-position model. Lineage: Eukaryota; Fungi; Glomeromycota. The record is from RNAcentral.